AUGGCGAGGACGGUGGUGGUGGCCUUGCUGCUGAUGCAAUUCUGCGACGUGGUUCUGGCGGCGAGGCUGCUGGAGGGGGACGGCGCCUGGCUGCAGGGCGGCGUUGGCGCCGCUGGGGCGCUUAUCAUGCACAUCCUGCCCGGCGGCUCUCCGGGAGCGGGAGCACCCAACGGCUGCACCAACAACCCCAAACACCCCGCCGGUGGGAAAUGCCACGGCUAA
This 222-nucleotide ribosomal RNA is filed under the name Triticum aestivum (bread wheat). RNAcentral's name for it is "partial small subunit ribosomal RNA". The record is from RNAcentral. Lineage: Eukaryota; Viridiplantae; Streptophyta; Magnoliopsida; Poales; Poaceae.